This 399-nucleotide unclassified non-coding RNA is filed under the name soil metagenome. RNAcentral's name for it is "partial contains 5.8S ribosomal RNA, internal transcribed spacer 2, and large subunit ribosomal RNA". The stretch from base 1 to 122 matches the Rfam family "5.8S ribosomal RNA", at positions 35 to 154 of the family's 154-position model. The record is from RNAcentral.
GAUGAAGAACGUAGCGAAAUGCGAUACUUGGUGUGAAUUGCAGAAUCCCGUGAACCAUCGAGUCUUUGAACGCAAGUUGCGCCUCAAGCCAUUAGGUUGAGGGCACGUCUGCCUGGGCGUCACAUAUCGUUGCCUGAUGCCAGUUUCCUCGUGAUGGGUGACUGUGCAGGGCGAAUGAUGGCUUCCCGUGAGCAUUGUUGCCUCAUGUUGGUUGAAAAUUGAGUCCUUGGUAGGGAGCGCCGUGAUAGAUGGUGGUUGAGUGACGAACGAGACCCAAUCAUGUGAGACCCCUACCGAAUUUGGCCUUCAUGACCCACAUGCGUCUUUGGAACGCUCAUGACGAGACCUCAGGUCAGGCGGGGCUACCCGCUGAGUUUAAGCAUAUCAAUAAGCGGAGGA